RNAcentral lists this ribosomal RNA (686 nucleotides) under Melolontha cuprescens. RNAcentral's name for it is "partial large subunit ribosomal RNA". It matches the Rfam family "Eukaryotic large subunit ribosomal RNA", at positions 644 to 1285 of the family's 3401-position model. The record is from RNAcentral. Lineage: Eukaryota; Metazoa; Arthropoda; Insecta; Coleoptera; Scarabaeidae.
GGGACCCGUCCUUGAAACACGGACCAAGGAGUCUAGCAUGUGCGCGAGUCAUUGGGGACUCUGACGAAACCUAAAGGCGUAAUGAAAGUGAAGGUCCGCCUGGCGCGGACCGAGGGAGGAUGGGCGGACCCGAGGGGCCGCCUCGCACUCCCGGGGCGUCUCGUUCUCAUCGCGAGAAGAGGCGCACCCAGAGCGUACACGCUGGGACCCGAAAGAUGGUGAACUAUGCCUGGUCAGGACGAAGUCAGGGGAAACCCUGAUGGAGGUCCGUAGCGAUUCUGACGUGCAAAUCGAUCGUCGGAACUGGGUAUAGGGGCGAAAGACUAAUCGAACCAUCUAGUAGCUGGUUCCCUCCGAAGUUUCCCUCAGGAUAGCUGGCGCUCGCUUCUUGCGAGUCUCAUUCGGUAAAGCGAAUGAUUAGAGGCAUUGGGGUCGAAACGGCCUCAACCUAUUCUCAAACUUUAAAUGGGUGAGAUCUCCGGCUUGCUUGAACUGUGAAGCCGCGAGAUAUCGGAUCAGAGUGCCAAGUGGGCCACUUUUGGUAAGCAGAACUGGCGCUGUGGGAUGAACCAAACGCCGAGUUAAAGCGCCUAAAUCGACGCUUAUGGGAUACCAUGAAAGGCGUUGGUAACUUAAGACAGCAGGACGGUGGCCAUGGAAGUCGGAAUCCGCUAAGGAGUGUGUAA